RNAcentral lists this long non-coding RNA (417 nucleotides) under Ananas comosus (pineapple). RNAcentral's name for it is "long non-coding RNA (ACOM_LNC026080)". Lineage: Eukaryota; Viridiplantae; Streptophyta; Magnoliopsida; Poales; Bromeliaceae. The record is from RNAcentral.
GGUUUAGUUUUUUCCUGUUAAUUGGAUAUUCGGGCUUUCGUGAAUAUAAUAAAGAACUUGUGGAUUCUUAUGAAAUGAAAAUGAUUUUCUACCUCUCGCGGUAGCAGAUUUUAAAAGAAAAAGGGUUUCCGUGUGGGAAACGAUUUUAAAAGGUUUCUCGUGGUUUUCAUAACUUAGUAUUUCAAAAUGAGUUUCCGGGUAGGAAAUAUUCUAAACUAAUAGUUAUGGAUUUCUAAAUAAACUCUGAAUAUGAAUUUGUUGGUGAAUGGUGUAUGAAUGUAUGAAUGUUUGUAUAUUCAGUUGUGGUGGUUGUAUCCGUUUAUGUAUCUUGUACUUGUGUGACGCCGUGCAAAUACAGGGGAGACUCUAUCCGUGUGAACAGUGAACUCUCUGUAUUUGUGGCGGAUCUGGCAUACC